RNAcentral lists this long non-coding RNA (1648 nucleotides) under Calidris pugnax (ruff). RNAcentral's name for it is "lncRNA (ENSCPUG00000006578.1)". Lineage: Eukaryota; Metazoa; Chordata; Aves; Charadriiformes; Scolopacidae. The record is from RNAcentral.
AACAGGGCACUGGGGGGACUGGAGCAUACUGGGGAGGUUGGAGCAUCUGGGGUGGAACUGGAGCAUCCCAGGGGGCUUGGAGCCUCCUGGCCUGAGAUGGAGCCCCCCAACCCCAGAGGGUGGUUUUGGGGGUGUAAAUCUCAGCUGAAGUCACCUGCUCUCCAGCAGGGCCGUGACAGGGCCUGGGAGUGACCUGGGGUCCCCUUGCACCCCCAAACCUUCCCUGGUGAUGUUGCACCUCCUUGGGGACCCCCCCCCACUUCAGAGCGUCCCCCAGGACACCUGACACGAGGCACCCACCGACCCGCCGCGGGGAGAUCGACGUAUGAAAUUUAUUUAGGAAAACCAAACCCACCAAAAAAAAAAAUUAAUAAUAAUAAUAAAGAGGGAGGAGAAGGAGAAGGAGAAGGAGAAGGAGAAGGAGAAGGAGAAGGAGAAGGAGAAGGAGAAGGAGAAGGAGAAGGAGAAGGAGAAGGAGAAGGAGAAGGAGAAGGAGAAGGAGAAGGAAGGAAGAGAAAGGAGAAAGAAGGAGAAAGAGGAGGAGAAGGAUGAGAAGAAGGAGGAGAAGAGGAGGAAGAAAGAGAAGAAAAAGAAGAAGAAGAAGAAGAAAAUGAAGAAGAGGAGGAGGAAAGAGAAGAAAAAGAAGAAGAAAGAAGAGGGACAAGAAGAGAAGAAGAAGAGGAGGAGAAGAAGGAGAAGAACAAAAAAAAAGAAGAGGAACAAGAAGAAGAGGAGGAGGAAUAAGGAGAAGAAGAAAAAGUUGAAGACAGAAGAAGAACAAGGAGAAGAAGAAGAGGAGGAGGAGGAGGAAGAAAGAGAAGAAAGAAGAGGAACAAGAAGAAUAAGAAGAGGAGGAGGAGGAGAAAGAAAGAGAAGCAAGAAGAGGAACAAGAAGGAGAAGAAGAAGAAGAGGAGGAAGAAAGAGAAGAAGAAAGAAGAGGAACAAGAAAGAGAAGAAGAAAGAAGAGGAACAAGAAGGAGAAGAAGAAGAAGAGGAGGAGGAAGAAGGAGGAGGAGAGGAACAAGAAGGAGAAGAAGAAGAAGAGGAGGAGGAAGAAAGAGAAGAAGAAAGAAGAGGAACAAGAAGGAGAAGAAGAAAAACAAGGAGAGGAAGAAGGAGGAGGAGGAGAGGAACAAGAAGGAGAAGACUCGUCUCCUCCUCAGGCUCCGUUGGAGCCCAGAACAACCAGCGCGGCGAGAGGGGAGUGGGACAGAGAAGCCAGAGGAGGCUUUGCACGCCCGCGCACGCCCGUGCACACUCGUGUGCAAGCCGGGCUGGGUGCCGGCCGCGCUGCCCAGUCUCCCCUCGGGGUAUGUACAGGGGUGGGAGCCAGGAAAGCAUCGACCACCUACGCACACCAGCGGCGGGGGCUGGAAAAGUGGGGUACAGCUGGGACACGGGGGGUACCCAGGAUGUGGCAGGCCCCCACCCGGCUCCAUCGGCACCAACGAGACCCCCCCACACCCCCCCACCAAUCCCCAGGGCACCCCCUGGAUUGUCACUGGGCUGGGAGCGGUGGUGCCCGUUGGCACGGUGGUGGCAUCACGCCGGGGAUGGAGCCACCUUCCUCCUCUUGCAGUUUGGGGGGGUUCGCUGCCUUCGGGGACCGUCCCUGCCCCACCCUGGGGUGUGGGGAGAUGGGCUUGA